RNAcentral lists this long non-coding RNA (207 nucleotides) under Setaria italica (foxtail millet). RNAcentral's name for it is "long non-coding RNA (SITA_LNC007068)". Lineage: Eukaryota; Viridiplantae; Streptophyta; Magnoliopsida; Poales; Poaceae. The record is from RNAcentral.
UAAUGAGAGCCCCAUCGAGUUUCACCAGGUCUAGGCAAACUCAUCUCUUGAUUUAAUCCACUCCCUGAUUCAAGCUCACCACACUCAAGUGUUUUCUUGAUAUUCUCAAGCCUAGCAGUUCGAAGCAUACCAAUGCGCUUGCAAGAAACUCCAAUAAUAUUCAAUAAGAUAGAUACUUGAUCAAAAAAGCUCUUACAAUUAGUAUUU